GAGGAUUACAUGAUGAUGAUAAUCAAAUUACUCACAUAUAUAAAAUUAUCACAUAAGAGUAUCAGGUAUCCAAACAUCAAGCAUUAAAAGGAGACCAAAAAUCCAAUCGUAUCGAGAUAGUAGAAGCAAUCGCAAAUGUUUUUUAGGGGAAAAGGCAUCAUUGACUGAUUGACACACGACCUCUGUUGCCGCUGCUGUAGUCAGCCG
RNAcentral lists this long non-coding RNA (207 nucleotides) under Hordeum vulgare. RNAcentral describes it as "long non-coding RNA (HVUL_LNC014750)". Lineage: Eukaryota; Viridiplantae; Streptophyta; Magnoliopsida; Poales; Poaceae. The record is from RNAcentral.